AUCACUCGUUGUCUCUCUUUCUUCUUCUCCCUCUCCGCCAUUAAACUUCUUCUUCUCCCUCACCAUCAUUAAACCUUCGAACAGAGCCCCUUUCUACAGGAUCAGGUUUUAAGAAGAACAUUCAACUGGUUAAGCACUUUCAAUUGAUCUCGAAGAUAAUGAGAAAACAACACAUCGAAUUCCAAAAGGUUGUUCUUAAUAUUUCUGUUGGUGAAUCUGGAGAUCGUCUCAUCGGAGCUGCUAAGGUUUUGGAACAAUUUGGUGAUCAAACCCCAGGUUUCUCCAAGGUUAGGUACACUGUCAGAUCUUUUGGAAUCAGGCGUAAUGAAAAGAUUGCUUGUUACGUUUCUGUGAGAGGUGAGAAAGGUAUGCAGCUUGUUGAAAGUGGAUUGAAGGUUAAGGGAUACGAGUUAGGAUAAACUUGAGUAAUACAGUAUAUUUUGGAUUGUUCUUGGAAUUAAGUUGCUCAAGGUGCAGUUACUGCUAAAUGAUCGUGGACUCGACUGGAGUUCAAAAGUUUUAAAUAGCAAUUCGUUAACACUCCGCGAAUGACCUUCAGAUUAUAUUUCCCCAAAGCCUAUUUAAGUCAGUCCGUCGUCCCAUGGAACGAUUUAAAUGUGCUCGUGGUGCAGCGAACCAACUUAGUAUCCUAUGAGCGAUAAGUACAAAUGAACAAGAUGGUGCCGCUAGAGCAGCUACUCGAGCAAGUUUCGAUACUGGCUACUGCUUGUUCCUGCAAUAGUGAUUAAUGGUCAAGAAAAUAGGGCAGCGCAAGUGUUUUGUACUACACAUGUUUCGUUCUUCAGAUUUGUUUGAAGACUUAUCCUUAUGGAGGCUGUGUACAGCGGUGAUGAUAGGAAGGAAUCUAAAUUGAAAAGAGCUCCUCAUGGCAAGGUACCACUGGAAACAUGGUAGAAGUGGAUCUGGAGUUUUUCGGUUGCAACAAGCUGGGGACGAGUUGCGCCUUAGCAGAAUCUCAUAAGCAGUUAUUUGAAUAUGUCAGCAACUUGAUCUCAGAUAACAGUCUUGAGGUAUAAGGUACCUUGGACUUGAAGUACUGGUGCUUGCAGAAGUAGGCCUACUCUUUGUGAUGUAUUUUCAACUUAUCUUUCAUGUAUACAUAUCUUUUAUUCCAACAAUAAAGUGGCAGUAUUAUGUAUUGAUGGUUUGGAAAAGUUUGGUUGAACCUAA
Molecule: long non-coding RNA, 1191 nt
Organism: Papaver somniferum (opium poppy)
Lineage: Eukaryota; Viridiplantae; Streptophyta; Magnoliopsida; Ranunculales; Papaveraceae
Exons: 9
Source: RefSeq, a predicted model, not a curated record